Molecule: ribosomal RNA, 480 nt
Filed under: uncultured Acidobacteriota bacterium
Lineage: Bacteria; Pseudomonadati; Acidobacteriota
Description: bacterial SSU rRNA
Rfam family: Bacterial small subunit ribosomal RNA
Source: RNAcentral
UUGAUCCUGGCUCAGAAUCAACGCUGGCGGCGCGCCUAACACAUGCAAGUCGAACGAGAAAGUGGAGCAAUCCAUGAGUACAGUGGCGUACGGGUGAGUUACACGUGGGUAAUCUACCUCUUAGUGUGGAAUAACUCUGGGAAACUAGAUCUAAUACCGCAUAAGCUCGAGAGAGGAAAGCAGCAAUGCGCUGAGAGAGUAGCCCGCGGCCGAUUAGCUAGUUGGCAGGGUAAAAGCCUACCAAGGCAUUGAUCGGUAGCCGGCCUGAGAGGGCACACGGCCACACUGGCACUGAAACAUGGGCCAGACUCCUACGGGAGGCAGCAGUGGGGAAUCUUGCACAAUGGGGUAAACCCUGAUGCAGCGACGCCGCGUGAGCGAUGAAGCCCUUCGGGGUGUUAAGCUCUUUCGGCAGGGAAGAUAGUGACGGUACCUGCAGAAGCAGCUGCUGCUAACUACGUGCCAGCAGCCGCGGUAAUU